This 468-nucleotide ribosomal RNA is filed under the name uncultured bacterium. RNAcentral's name for it is "partial 16S ribosomal RNA". It matches the Rfam family "Bacterial small subunit ribosomal RNA", at positions 28 to 507 of the family's 1533-position model. The record is from RNAcentral.
GACGAACGCUGGCGGCGUGCUUAACACAUGCAAGUCGAACGGAAAGGCCCUGCUUUUGUGGGGUGCUCGAGUGGCGAACGGGUGAGUAACACGUGAGUAACCUGCCCUUGACUUUGGGAUAACUUCAGGAAACUGGGGCUAAUACCGGAUAGGAGCUCCUGCUGCAUGGUGGGGGUUGGAAAGUUUCGGCGGUUGGGGAUGGACUCGCGGCUUAUCAGAUUGUUGGUGGGGUAGUGGCUUACCAAGGCUUGGGCGGGUAGCCGGCCUGAGAGGGUGACCGGCCACAUUGGGACUGAGAUACGGCACAGACUCCUACGGGAGGCAGGAGUGGGGAAUAUUGCACAAUGGGCGGAAGCCUGAUGCAGCAACGCCGCGUGCGGUAUGACGGCCUUCGGGUUGUAAACCGCUUUCGCCUGUGACGAAGCGUGAGUGACGGUAAUGGGUAAAGAAGCACCGGCUAACUACGUG